UGGAGUAUGAGUGUGUCUUGGUGGUGCUCUGGUGGAUGUCGUAGUGUGGUCGAUUCUUCGUCUGGUGCCUCCAUUGCUUCACCCGGUACCUCGUUUUAUAGUCGCGGCAGAGGCUUCUGGAGAUGCUUCAUGCUUAAGGCUUCUGGUGCCUUCAAUUAUUCUUCUGGUGCCUUCAAUUAUUCUCCUCUUCUGUUGCCUGGACACUUGGACGGCUCUCCGCUCCUCAAUAAUUGUCCUGGGUACAGUAGAGUUGCUGUUUAUUCCUUUUGCCUUGUCCUUUAUCGCGUACUGUCUUCUUGUGAUAUUCCGGAUGCUAC
Molecule: long non-coding RNA, 317 nt
Filed under: Setaria viridis
Lineage: Eukaryota; Viridiplantae; Streptophyta; Magnoliopsida; Poales; Poaceae
Description: long non-coding RNA (SVIR_LNC006875)
Source: RNAcentral